CCCUUAGAUGUUCUGGGCCGCACGCGCGCUACACUGACGAAUGCAACGAGCUUAUAACCUUGGCCGAAAGGUCUGGGUAAUCUCCAAAUUUCGUCGUGAUGGGGAUAGAUUAUUGCAAUUAUUAAUCUUCAACGAGGAAUGCCUAGUAAGCGCAAGUCAUCAGCUUGCGUUGAUUACGUCCCUGCCCUUUGUACACACCGCCCGUCGCUCCUACCGAUUGAAUGGUCCGGUGAAGCGUUCGGACCGUGGCCUUUGGACGGUUCGCCGUCUGUUGGCUGCGGGAAGUUCGUUAAACCUUAUCAUUUAGAGGAAGGUGAANUCGUAACA
This 327-nucleotide ribosomal RNA is filed under the name uncultured eukaryote. Its description in RNAcentral is "partial 18S ribosomal RNA". It matches the Rfam family "Eukaryotic small subunit ribosomal RNA", at positions 1470 to 1796 of the family's 1831-position model. The record is from RNAcentral.